GUACUUGACUGUCUCGUCGCCGCCGCCGGCCUUUGUCGCACUUGCACUCUUGUGUAUCUCGGAGGCGAGCACAAAAGGAGAGAUCGAAAAAAAAAGAAUACACAAGACGGAUCUACCUUUGGGCCUCACUUCACGUGCAACGCUCCGCAUAAUCGGACUCCCUAUCUUCGUUUUCCUCCAUCUCUUCUCUCCCCCUUGUCGUUCGCGUUCUUGUAUCUUGUCCGUUUCGUUUUCGAGUCUCUUGUCGUUGCUGCUGCUGCGACUUGCCCUCUUCUCUCCCUUCUUCGGUCGCACUCCCCUCCCCUCCCGACGUGUAUCUUCGAUUGCAUUUUUUCUUUCAUCUGCCCUUUUCCUUUCUCUCUUUUCGGUUUGGCGCGGUUGCCAUUACGCUCCUCUCGGUGUGCAUUCCUUCUCUUCUCCCCCCUUCGCACGCGCCUCGGUGUCGGUACUCUCGCUCUUAGAGCGGUUACACUUUUCAGUUGGUCUGAUUUCGUAAGCCUCGCUGUCCGGCUCGCACGCGCUUCUCCAGAGUCUCUCUUUCUCUUCCACCUCCCUGACCGGUUCGUGCCCACACACCCUUUACUCGCACUCCAUCACUGUGGGCUUUGGCGGUUUGUUUUUGUUCAUGUGUGUGUUUUUGGUGGAAUUGACUACAUCUGUUGUGCAUCUCUGCCUGUCUGUGUGUCUGUGUGUGUUUGGAGGGUUCUCGGCACUGCCCCUCUCACUUGCAUUUCUCUGCUUGUUGCUGCUGACCCUGCGUUGCAUGAGGAUUGCCUGCGCAGUGUGAACGAACCGCUGCUGUGCCUUGUACAAUACACUGGGACUGUUGGAGGGCGCUGGUGCAGUGUUGGUGGCUUCUGUUGUCAGCACGUCUCCUCUUUCCUUUUUUCUGUUUGCGCCGAAAGGGGGUAUCGUACACGAACAAAGGCUUGUAUCACCUUUGCGCCUCCAUCCGAGGGCACUGCCGCGCCUUCCUCCCAGCCCCGGCCUUUUUUGUCUUCUAGAUAGCUGUGCGAGGAGGGGUACGUUCUGGAGCUUGUUGUCGUCGUGACGAAGUGCGACAGGAGGGUGAGUGCGGGUGGGGUGGGGGCUGGAGAGUCGGAAACAACCGCUUUGGCGUGUCUCGUUGUCGCAUCUGUUUUUUUUUUUUCCUUCUCUUUGAUCUUCGUGCCCUGUCGUGCUUCGCACCCCGCACGUUGUCCUUUUAUUUUUCGUUGUCUUGCUCCCUGCAUUCUAUCACCCACCCGCCCCUACGCUACCGUAUACACCGACUCGCACUCUUUCUCAUCAUCAGCAGGAGCUCUCGCUCCUCCUUUUUUUCCUUCGCUCACGCAUCUCCGCUCGUGUGCCUCGGCUUGUUCGUACUGUGUCUCCGACAACGAUCAUCACCUCGAAAGCCUCUCCUCUCCUCUCGCUGCUGCUUUGCUCGUGUAUUUGUGUUCGCGUUGAAAAGGGCCUACCCUCCAUCCGAUUACGAAUAUAGACGCCACCCAUGACGAUGGCAAACCUCUGCCUUGGCGAGGAUUUUAGUGAGGAGCUCACCUGCGCGGUGUGUCUUGACUCAUGGAAGGACCCGGUCGAGCUGAUGCCGUGUGGGCACAUCUUCUGCAAGGCGUGUGCGACGGGCUUGAAGGAGUGCCCCGUGUGUCGGGACCCCAUCCGCUCCACAAAAGCGCCGAACCGCACAUUAGUCAACAUGGCGCUGCAGAUCCGGGUAAAGUGUAGACGGUGCCAGUGGAAGGGGACACGUGAGCAAGGGAUGAGCCACGUAUGCGGGAAGGCGAGCUGCAGCUCGCCGAACCAGCCAUCGUGUCCGCCUUGGAUUACAAAGUCGCAGCCACAGCAGCACCCCACUGCGGCCAAGUUUCCCUCUCCAUACACGCAGCAGUCGUCGAAUUCAGGCUACGCGUCAUCACCCGGACAGACACAGCAACCAACACAGAACUAUCCGGAUUUGUGGGAGAGCGGUGCUCCGACGCAGCUUCCGCAGCAGUCGGCUGGAUACUCGACGGGCUGCGGCAACGCUUACUCAGGUGCUGCCCCACCUCCUAGUGGCGGCAACGCAAGCUCUCAAGGAAGCUACCCCACCACCAACUACUUGAAUCAGUCCAGGGCGGGCUACUCCGGCUACAAUCAGCAGCCACAACCGUCACGCUCGCUGCAGAGCCGCUACCGCGUGAUUGAGCCGACCGGCCCACGCCCGUGGACGCUGUACGGAUUGGACCAGUCCGAGUACGACCAGAUCGUUUCUCUCUUUGUUUUCUUCGACGAUAACGAAAGCGGUAAUCUGGAGCCGAAUGAGGUGACCCGUCUCGCACGUUGGCUGAACUUUGCGAACACUCCGCAGGACGUGAAGCGGAUCUUCGACGAUAUGGAUUUUGAAGGCAGCGGAAAGCUCUCCCUCGGCGAGUUCUUGACGUGGCUUCGGUACAACAAGCCGAACCCGCAGGCCCUCUACGGCCUCACGCAGUCGCAGUACAAUACAAUCAUGAUGCAGUUCCAUACGUACGACACGAAUCAGGACGGGUGCCUAGAAAUGAACGAGUUUUCUCGGUUAGUGCAGAAUCUCGGCGACGUGGGCGAUGCUGUCACAGCGCAGCGUCUGUUCCAGAUGAUCGACCAGGAUCGCGACGGUGUCAUCAGCCUGCACGAGUUUCUCCGUUUCCGGGCGGGGAAAGGCUGACCAUAGCGAGGGAGAACCGAGGCUGCCCGAAGUGGCUCGAUGACAGAAGAGGGCGCAGGAGAGGGGCGGUCGAGCGUUAUCUUGUGAGUCGGAGAAGCAAGGCUGGAGUUGUUGUUGCAGAGGAUCAGAGAAAUACCCACCACAGACCUAUCGUCUCCCUCUCCAGGCUUUAUCGUGUGACAAGUACAGACGGGCAGUGUAUGACAUGACGAUCGUGAGGAUGGUGGACUGUCUCGUGGUGGUACAGCGGGACGCUGUGAACGUACGUGUGGUAAGGGGCGGCGUGCUGACCACGGUGACGGAUCCGUUGUAUUCUGUGGCAGUGCAACUAUUUCCUUUUUGUGGGAUGCUGUGUUAUUGCUGAACACGUGGAGCGGUGGUCGCCGCCGGCUGCCGUUCCCUUCUUCCUUGUUUGUGGUAGCACUGCUUCUCUUCUUUCGCUUCUCUAGUUCUUUCCCGUCUGCUGUCCCACUCUUUCUUUCUGAGGAUUUCUUCCACGCGCCAUUUCAUGUAUCAUGGCCUCCUGCGAAACCCCAUGUGCGCGUGCGUGGUGGACGGGGCUCGUCGCCUUUUUCACGGAAAUCCUAAGGAAAACAACUAAACACCGAAAAGAAAGGCGCAGCGGGCCAGCCGGCGGCCCUGCGCAUCGACUACUCGCCUCGUGUGUGUUUGUGUUUUGAAUUCAUGCCUCCUUUUUGGUUAUGCGCACAGUUUUGCGCUGGCUGAACGGGGGACUAGGUGUCGCUGCUGGCGGAGGUGAUGCACAGGGUCGAGAGCGGCUCCGGCAGCGUGGCAGGAACACCACAUGUAUUGACAUGUGCACAGCGACAUGGACCUCGUUGCUUAGAAGGCAAGGGGGUGUGCGCAGGCAGGUCUGUCACAGUGCGCUCGGAGCGAGAGAGGAGAUGCGGCCUGCGCGAAGAGGGUUUGGUGCGAGGUACGUUGAGGAGGGAGUUAUAAAGGGCUCUAGUCGAGGCGGAGAAGGGUCCUACUGCUCGUGCGUGGGUGGUAUAUGCUUGUACUAGCUCAUGCUCUUAGCUGUUGUUGCUGUGGAUGCGGGUGAUGCAUCGCCUUCUGACCCCCACCCCCUCUUCCCUAUGCAGACUUCGAUGUCGGCUGUGCACGUGUGUAGGGGGUUUUUCGAGGUCUGUUACUGCGAUUCCUAACUUUGUCCUUUUUUUUCUCGGCUCGUUAUUGCCUCUCUGCAACCACUUUCCUCCCUCUCAAGAAAGAGGGCGUUGUUUUGCUUCGUCAUCAUAGUCGUGACGGUCGGCGUGAACGACACACACACACACACACGAAAUGCGAAAACGAGCGUGCACUUACAUGAGAGGGCGAAGGCUGCAGAUGGUGGUGUGUAGUGCGUAUGUGCGCACGCGCCUGUGUGCGACAGUUUGCGUUCUCGGAAGUGUGUCUCCGAGGUAUGUGUGCAGGGGCCUGCGUGCGAUGGCGCCGCUGGG
This 4143-nucleotide unclassified non-coding RNA is filed under the name Leishmania donovani. RNAcentral's name for it is "gene:LdHU3.24.1730(CDS-product:Zinc_finger_C3HC4_ type_(RING_finger)/Ring_finger_domain/zinc-RING_finger_doma in/Secreted_protein_acidic_and_rich_in_cysteine_Ca_binding_ region/EF-hand_domain_pair/EF-hand_domain/EF_hand_putative)". Lineage: Eukaryota; Euglenozoa; Kinetoplastea; Trypanosomatida; Trypanosomatidae. The record is from RNAcentral.